Molecule: microRNA precursor, 59 nt
Filed under: Octopus bimaculoides (California two-spot octopus)
Lineage: Eukaryota; Metazoa; Mollusca; Cephalopoda; Octopoda; Octopodidae
Description: Obi-Mir-12570_pre stem-loop
Source: RNAcentral
CUAAGUACCUAGUUUUGUAAUGUGUACACUUCUGGCAUUAUAAUUCUACGUACCUGGGG